RNAcentral lists this non-coding RNA (245 nucleotides) under Lachnospiraceae bacterium. RNAcentral's name for it is "T-box sequence". It matches the Rfam family "T-box leader". From Rfam's summary of the family: Uncharged tRNA acts as the effector for transcription antitermination of genes in the T-box leader family. Lineage: Bacteria; Bacillati; Bacillota; Clostridia; Lachnospirales; Lachnospiraceae. The record is from RNAcentral.
AAAAAUGCAGUGAAUGGGAUAAAUUACAUGGGCAGUAUCAUGACAGAGAGCCGCCGGCUGGUGAAAGGCGGUAUGGUAUCCAUUGUAACAUCACCCUGGAGCAUCCCGCUGAAAGUUUUACGAGUAGGUUGGGACGGGUUCUCUACGUUAACAGAGAUGCUGUUAACCAAAGACAGCAGAAAACGAGCGGCCGUUAUUUUUAUGCGGCAAGCAGAGUGGUACCACGGAUGAAUUCCGCCUCUGCA